UGGAUCCAGACUUUGAUCAUGGCUCAGGAUGAACGCUAGCUACAGGCUUAACACAUGUAAGUCGAGGGGCAGCAUGGUCUUAGCUUGCUAAGGCCGAUGGCGACCGGCGCACGGGUGAGUAACACGUAUCCAACCUGCCGUCUACUCUUGGACAGCCUUCUGAAAGGAAGAUUAAUACAAGAUGGCAUCAUGAGUCCGCAUGUUCACAUGAUUAAAGGUAUUCCGGUAGACGAUGGGGAUGCGUUCCAUUAGAUAGUAGGCGGGGUAACGGCCCACCUAGUCUUCGAUGGAUAGGGGUUCUGAGAGGAAGGUCCCCCACAUUGGAACUGAGACACGGUCCAAACUCCUACGGGAGGCAGCAGUGAGGAAUAUUGGUCAAUGGGCGAGAGCCUGAACCAGCCAAGUAGCGUGAAGGAUGACUGCCCUAUGGGUUGUAAACUUCUUUUAUAAAGGAAUAAAGUCGGGUAUGGAUACCCGUUUGCAUGUACUUUAUGAAUAAGGAUCGGCUAACUCCGUGCCAGCAGCCGCGGUAAUACGGAGGAUCCGAGCGUUAUCCGGAUUUAUUGGGUUUAAAGGGAGCGUAGAUGGAUGUUUAAGUCAGUUGUGAAAGUUUGCGGCUCAACCGUAAAAUUGCAGUUGAUACUGGAUAUCUUGAGUGCAGUUGAGGCAGGCGGAAUUCGUGGUGUAGCGGUGAAAUGCUUAGAUAUCACGAAGAACUCCGAUUGCGAAGGCAGCCUGCUAAGCUGCAACUGACAUUGAGGCUCGAAAGUGUGGGUAUCAAACAGGAUUAGAUACCCUGGUAGUCCACACGGUAAACGAUGAAUACUCGCUGUUUGCGAUAUACAGCAAGCGGCCAAGCGAAAGCGUUAAGUAUUCCACCUGGGGAGUACGCCGGCAACGGUGCAACUCAAAUGAAUUGACGGA
RNAcentral lists this ribosomal RNA (924 nucleotides) under uncultured Bacteroidota bacterium. RNAcentral's name for it is "bacterial SSU rRNA". It matches the Rfam family "Bacterial small subunit ribosomal RNA", at positions 1 to 917 of the family's 1533-position model. Lineage: Bacteria; Pseudomonadati; Bacteroidota. The record is from RNAcentral.